AUUGAACGCUGGCGGCAGGCCUAACACAUGCAAGUCGAACGGUAACAGGAAGCAGCUUGCUGCUUUGCUGACGAGUGGCGGACGGGUGAGUAAUGUCUGGGAAACUGCCUGAUGGAGGGGGAUAACUACUGGAAACGGUAGCUAAUACCGCAUAACGUCGCAAGACCAAAGAGGGGGACCUUCGGGCCUCUUGCCAUCGGAUGUGCCCAGAUGGGAUUAGCUAGUAGGUGGGGUAACGGCUCACCUAGGCGACGAUCCCUAGCUGGUCUGAGAGGAUGACCAGCACAACGGGAACGAAGACACGUUCCAGACUCCUACGGGGGGCAGCGGGGGGGAAUUUUGAACAAUGGGCGCAAGCCUGAUGCAGCCAUGCCGCGGGUAUGAAGAAGGCCUUCGGGUUGUAAAUUACUUUCAGCGGGGGGGAAGGGAGUAAAUUUAAUACCUUUGCUCAUUGACUUUCCCCGCAAAAGAAGCACCGGCUAACCCCGC
RNAcentral lists this ribosomal RNA (489 nucleotides) under uncultured bacterium. Its description in RNAcentral is "partial 16S ribosomal RNA". It matches the Rfam family "Bacterial small subunit ribosomal RNA", at positions 30 to 506 of the family's 1533-position model. The record is from RNAcentral.